CUGAGCCCUCGGAAGUGGAAUGUAUACUUGGAGGUUCAAGCAGGCUGCUUUCAACUUAGAGAGACAGCUCUCUUGGAAGCCUGUGAAAGAGAGUACACAGGAGGAUAAGACUGUGAGUAAGAACACCAGGAAGACAUGCAAGAGGGGAAACAACUCAUAGAUUUGGAGGACUUCGUAUGUAUGUAGAAUAUCAAGCAGAAGAAAAAAGCAAGACAGGGGAUUAUCAUAGAGAACCAUUUGCAGAAGACUCUAAGAAGUUCCUCCUCUUCUCUACUUGCUGUGUGCAGUUUGACCUCAGCCUCUGC
Mastomys coucha (southern multimammate mouse) is the source of this 305-nucleotide long non-coding RNA. RefSeq lists it as uncharacterized. The transcript has 4 exons. NCBI's taxonomy places the organism in Eukaryota, Metazoa, Chordata, Mammalia, Rodentia, Muridae. The record is from RefSeq and is a predicted model, not a curated record.